RNAcentral lists this ribosomal RNA (493 nucleotides) under Rhodotorula taiwanensis. RNAcentral describes it as "partial large subunit ribosomal RNA". It matches the Rfam family "Eukaryotic large subunit ribosomal RNA", at positions 141 to 648 of the family's 3401-position model. The record is from RNAcentral. Lineage: Eukaryota; Fungi; Basidiomycota; Microbotryomycetes; Sporidiobolales; Sporidiobolaceae.
AGUUGUAAUCUCUAGAAGUGUUUUCCGCGUUGGACCGCACACAAGUCUGUUGGAAUACAGCGGCAUAGUGGUGAGACCCCCCGUAUAUGGUGCGGACGCCCAACGCUUUGUGAUACACUUUCGAAGAGUCGAGUUGUUUGGGAAUGCAGCUCAAAUUGGGUGGUAAAUUCCAUCUAAAGCUAAAUAUUGGCGAGAGACCGAUAGCGAACAAGUACCGUGAGGGAAAGAUGAAAAGCACUUUGGAAAGAGAGUUAACAGUACGUGAAAUUGUUGGAAGGGAAACGCUUGAAGUCAGACUUGCUUGCCGAGCAAUCGGUUUGCAGGCCAGCAUCAGUUUUCCGGGGUGGAUAAUGGUAGAGAGAAGGUAGCAGUUUCGGCUGUGUUAUAGCUCUUUGCUGGAUACACCUUGGGGGACUGAGGAACGCAGUGUGCCUUACGGCGGAUUUCUCGAGAUCUUCACACUUAGGAUGCUGGUGGAAUGGCUUUAAACGAC